AUGACUUGUAUGAAAGAUUGGAUGAAAUAUAAACUGUCUCUUAAUUAAAUAUAGAAUUUAAUUUUUUAAUUAAAAAGUUAAGAUAAAUUAAAAAGACGAGAAGACCCUAUAGAGUUUUAUAAUUAAUUUAAUUAAGAUUAUUUAAAAAUAAAAAUUAAAAUUUAAUUAAUUAUUUUGUUGGGGUGACAAAAAAAUAUAAUUAACUUUUUUUAAUAUUUAUCCAUUUAUAAGUGAUUAAAUGAUCCAAUAUUAUUGAUUAUAAGAAAAAAUUACCUUAGGGAUAACAGCGUAAUUUUUUUUUUUA
RNAcentral lists this ribosomal RNA (304 nucleotides) under Eremobia ochroleuca. Its description in RNAcentral is "partial 16S large subunit ribosomal RNA". Lineage: Eukaryota; Metazoa; Arthropoda; Insecta; Lepidoptera; Noctuidae. The record is from RNAcentral.